Molecule: non-coding RNA, 1524 nt
Filed under: Tetranychus urticae (two-spotted spider mite)
Lineage: Eukaryota; Metazoa; Arthropoda; Arachnida; Trombidiformes; Tetranychidae
Description: Eukaryotic small subunit ribosomal RNA
Rfam family: Eukaryotic small subunit ribosomal RNA
Source: Rfam by way of RNAcentral
GGUGCCAGCAGCCGCGGUAAUUCCAGCUCCAAUAGCGUAUAUUAAAGUUGCUGCGGUUAAAAAGCUCGUAGUUGGAUUUCAGUCGAACCUAUGGGGUCCACUGAUUAAAGGGUUAGAUGGUGAUGUUAGGUUUCUUGCUUGUGUCUACGGAUGCUUGCUUGAACCUUCAUUCCUCUUUCCUGGUGGUUACAUUCAUAGUGUUUAGACAGAAAAUUGCUCGAUAUUUGCUAUCAAUGCUCUUUACCGAGUGUUGAUUCAAGCGAUCGAGACUUUUACCUUGAAAAAAUCAGAGUGCUCAAAGCAGGCGUCCAAAACCUCGAAAGAGGUGCCUAAAAACGGUAUGGUCAACCAUCUAUAUGAUGCGUACCACUACCUUAACUUGAAUGAUCUUGCAUGGAAUAAUGGAAUAGGACCUUGGUUCUAUUUUGUUGGUCUUAAGAAUCCAAGGUAAUGAUUAAGAGGGACAGACGGGGGCAUUUGUAUUGCGGCGCUAGAGGUGAAAUUCUUGGACCGUCGCAAGACAAACUACAGCGAAAGCAUUUGCCAAGAAUGUUUUCAUUAAUCAAGAACGAAAGUUAGAGGUUCGAAGGCGAUCAGAUACCGCCCUAGUUCUAACCAUAAACGAUGCCAACCAGCGAUCAUUCUGAGUAACUAAUUUCAUGACUCGAAUGGAAGCUUCCGGGAAACCAAAGUUUUUGGGUUCCGGGGGAAGUAUGGUUGCAAAGCUGAAACUUAAAGGAAUUGACGGAAGGGCACCACCAGGAGUGGAGCUUGCGGCUUAAUUUGACUCAACACGGGAAAACUCACCCGGCCCGGACACUGAGAGGAUUGACAGAUUGAGAGCUCUUUCUUGAUUCAGUGGGUGGUGGUGCAUGGCCGUUCUUAGUUGGUGGAGUGAUUUGUCUGGUUAAUUCCGAUAACGAACGAGACUCUAGCCUACUAAAUAGACUUGCAGUUUACACUGCAGUACUCCCCCUUAGUCAACCUGUGGGUGGUAGUAUCUCUUGAUGGUUUCGGCUGUUGAGGGCUCUGCUGCUAUUAGCCUACAGAAUUGGCUAGGGUAAGGAUGCUGUAGCACUGUAAGGACUUCUUAGAGGGACAAGCGGCGCUCGCAGCCGCACGAAACAGAGCAAUAACAGGUCUGUGAUGCCCUUAGAUGUCCGGGGCCGCACGCGUGCUACACUGAAGUGGUCAUCGUGCAUACUGUUUCCUGCUCCGAAAGGAGUGGGUAACCGCUUGAACCCAUUUCGUGAUGGGGAUUGGGCAUUGUAAUUAUUGCCCAUGAACGAGGAAUUCCCAGUAAGCGUGAGUCAUUAGCUUGCGUUGAUUACGUCCCUGCCCUUUGUACACACCGCCCGUCGCUACUACCGAUUGAAUGAUUUAGUGAGGACUUCGGACUGGUCAAUCCAGACCAUUGGGAAACUAGUGGUCGGAUUGUGCUGGAAAGAUGUUCAAACUUGAUCAUUUAGAGGAAGUAAAAGUCGUAACAAGGUUUCCGUAGGUGAACCUGCGGAAGGAUCAUUA